UGGGGAAUAUUGCGCAAUGGGGGAAACCCUGACGCAGCAAUGCCGCGUGAAGGAAGACGGUUUUCGGAUUGUAAACUUCUUUUGUACGGGACGAAAAAAAUGACGGUACCGUACGAAUAAGCCACGGCUAACUACGUGCCAGCAGCCGCGGUAAUACGUAGGUGGCAAGCGUUAUCCGGAAUUACUGGGUGUAAAGGGCGAGUAGGCGGGCUUGCAAGUCAGAUGUGAAAACUACAGGCUUAACUUGUAGACUGCAUUUGAAACUGCGAGUCUUGAGUGAUGGAGAGGCAGGCGGAAUUCCUAGUGUAGCGGUGAAAUGCGUAGAUAUUAGGAGGAACACCAGUGGCGAAGGCGGCCUGCUGGACAUUAACUGACGCUGAGGCGCGAAAGCGUGGGGAGCAAACA
The sequence is a ribosomal RNA, 405 nucleotides long. It matches the Rfam family "Bacterial small subunit ribosomal RNA", at positions 355 to 774 of the family's 1533-position model.